Molecule: ribosomal RNA, 255 nt
Filed under: uncultured bacterium
Lineage: Bacteria
Description: partial 16S ribosomal RNA
Rfam family: Bacterial small subunit ribosomal RNA
Source: RNAcentral
CACGUAGGGGGCAAGCGUUGUCCGGAUUUAUUGGGCGUAAAGAGCUCGUAGGUGGCUGAGUAAGUCGGAUGUUAAAUCCCCAGGCUCAACCUGGGACACCACCCGAUACUGCUCUGGCUAGAGUCCGGUAGGGGAGCGUGGAAUUCCCGGUGUAGCAGUGAAAUGCGUAGAGAUCGGGAGGAACAUCAGUUGCGAAGGCGGCUCUCUGGACCAGCACUGACACUGAGGCACGAAAGCGUGGGGAGCAAACAGGGA